AUGGUGGGACGCUCCUGGAUUCCGGGUGUCCCACGAGUGAGUGGCAUGGAAACGAGUGACAAUACGGACACGAUGCAGACAAAGGGUGCAUCUCAUCCAACAUGCAUUCAUUCAUUCACGGGCGUCGUCUCGGGGUUAUACCUUCGAGGUGGCCUUGAUGCAUCCAUUCAUACAGUACUUGGUGUUUCGUGUAACUGGCGGCCUUUCGACCUUGAGGGAGAAGAAACAACACGCCCACAGCGCCCAGUGGGGAUGGUCCUGCAGCAACAGGAGGUCGAUGGCUGA
This 285-nucleotide ribosomal RNA is filed under the name Triticum aestivum (bread wheat). Its description in RNAcentral is "partial small subunit ribosomal RNA". Lineage: Eukaryota; Viridiplantae; Streptophyta; Magnoliopsida; Poales; Poaceae. The record is from RNAcentral.